Long non-coding RNA from Mesocricetus auratus (golden hamster), 2774 nucleotides. RefSeq lists it as uncharacterized. Lineage: Eukaryota; Metazoa; Chordata; Mammalia; Rodentia; Cricetidae. The transcript is spliced from 2 exons. The record is from RefSeq and is a predicted model, not a curated record.
CUCGCCACAACUAACAGUCACCUCUGUUACUCCAAUUCCAGAAGUUCCAACGCUCUUGGUGCUGCACAGACAUACACAUAAAAAGUCAAAGCAAAUAAAUAGUAAAAAUUGAAUGUGGAAGUUAGGUCUUCUACUUUACUGGGACAAAGGAUGAAGUCAGCUAGGCCCGAGGAAUCAGCUGCGCAUCGUAAGAGAUGGGCAUCAUUCAGGAAUUCACAGUUAAAGCACUUGCACUUUUAAAGGGAUCUUAACCUUUUCAAGUGUUGACGGCUUUAUAGAUUCUGGGGCUUUAAAAAAAAAGCUGGAGCGUGUUUUAUACUGCACUAUUAAUGUUAGCUCGAGAUCUCAGAGACAAACAAGAAAGGGAAGGUUCUGGUUUAACAGUGAUGUGUCCAGUUGACGAGAUAUGGAUUUAACAGUGAUGCGGAAGCUGACAAGAUAUGGGUUUUACUAAUCCGUUUGACACAGAUUAGAGACAUCUGGGAGAAGGGACUCAAUUACAGAAUCACCUUUCUUAGACUGUGAACAUGUCUAUAGUGCAUCUUCUUGAUUCCUAAUUGAUAUAGGAGGACUGAGACCUCUGUAGGAGGAACAUCCUUGGGCAAGUAGGCACGGGUAUAUAAAAAGGUAGCUGAGAAAGUUACAGGGAGCAAACAAGCAAACAGUGUUCCUCCAUUUUGAUUUAUGUUUAACUCACUCUGACUCGAAUUCCUGCUUUGGAUUCCCUGGAUGAUGAAUUACAAUCUGUAAGAUGAAAUAAUUUCUUCCCAAGUUGCCUUUGGUCAUGGCGUUUAUUACAGCAACAAUAAUAUUAAAACACCAGGCAGGCUUUUUCUGUCCUUAAACACUCUCUAACCCUGUCACACGGAUGUGGGUUAGAUGUCUGCAUGGAGCAGUGGCUAGCAUUAGUUGAGGGCUCAGUGUGCAGUGGCACCCUGUUCUAAAGGAUUUAUAGAAGUGAACUCAUGAAUUCCUCAUAAUAACCUUCUUAUUGAGUAGCAUACUUACCCACACAUCCCUCAUCGAAGGCAUAUGAAAGCCAUGUUGUCUGUUACCUUCUUUAGAUGAGAGAUGGCCUUAUCUCUCAAUCUUAUCUUUCAUCCUCUCUUUGCUUUAAGUGAGAGAGACUUUAUGAAUUAAUGGAAAUAUGAGUUCCCUUGGAAGUCUAUAGAACGAUAAUUGCAACUUGACACAGCUGAAGGAAACGUCCAGAGACUGUUUUUGGAGGGAAAAUAAUGAUGAGAAUCAAACCCAGAUCCUCACACUUGUUAGACAAGUGCUAUGCCAAAGAGUCAGAUAGUGGCAUUGUGUAAAAUAUGUGGGAAGUAGAAAUCUUGAGUGAAUGCGAAUUAUUGAAGUGUACACAGCCCAGCGCUCCUGACUCAUGAACAUGACAAACCCUUCUCUGGAUCAGGCCCAGGGUAAUGGCACACCCUUCCUCCUAGUCAUGUGUGGGUGCCUGCAGUAUGUGAAGAAAAUGUAGAUCAAGGCUUCAUACUCUGGGCUGCUGACAGCUUGAGACUGCUCGCCUAAAGAGACUCAUCUGUAUACAAAAAUCCCGCCUCACUGAUUUAAAUGUGUAAGGUAAACACAUACAGUUUCCAUAGAACUACUGGUGUGUCUCCGUCUGAGCACACAGCCCACUCAAUCAGCACGUGUAUCUGUGCAGAUCCUUUCUUCAUUCCCAAUUGCCCCAGUUGGGUCAAUCUCAACUGUGCAGAUCAUAGCAAGGGGGCACCCAGACAGUGUCACUUGACUACAGGAAACUCACAUUAGUCAGGUGAGUGAACGCUCCCAUGAAAAGCACAAAAAUAAAGGUAAAGAGAGGAAAGCAAGUGCAACUCUAUGCAAUGGGUGUAAACCUUGGGACACAGAAUGUAGAGAUACACAGUAUACAUUAAAACUUUGAAAAUUUAAGGAACUGUAGAGAUAGGAUAAAGAUAUUACAACUCCAUCAGUUCAAUCCCUCACUGCCUGAGUCAGGUUUCCAGGAUGUAGCCACAUGAGUUAUGGCAAAAUAUUGACAACCUGAAGGAAAGAUCAAUUUUUACUUACACAAAGUUUCUGGGGCUAUAUUCUUUGCAAUAACAUGACAUAGCAUAACAUAACUUAUAAAAAGUCUAUAUCUUAUACUUCUCUCCAGAAACCAGAGGCCAUAACUGUCUCUCUGUUUUUCAAGUUGGGUUUUCCGAUGAUGCUCAUGUCCUGAACCAUAGGGAUGUGCUAUCUUCUAAUUGUUCAUGUUGUGGUGGGAUGGAAUUAAUAGCUAGUCAUCAUCUGAAGACCGAGGGAAACCUGAGCAUCACCUGUAUCAGCCAGAGACUUCCCAACAACACCUCUGCAGAAGAAAAUGAGCUCACCAUACCACACACGGAAACAGAGCUUUUUCAAAAACGAUAUUGCUCAGGUGGAUGAAGGGAAACCACACUGUCUUCUCCCUGCAAACCAAACAUGAGGAAUACAAGUUAACUUAUCAAGAUUCCCUACAGAAAAUAUGUAUAUUUCAGAAGCAUUUCUUGCAAUUCUAUUCAAGAGAUGGCACAAUUUCUCCCAAAUAGUUGUGCCUUUUAAUUGUUAGUUCUAAGAAUAAAUGCAGUUUUUAAAAAAUGUAAUCCCCCAUUUAAAAAUAGUCACCAUUUAGUUUGUGUACCCCUUGAAUAUGUCUCUUUUUGGGGAGAGACAUACCACUGUUAAGAAAAUGUUUUGUGUAUUUAAAAAAUAAAGAAUUCCUUGACAGAAUCUUUUGUAAUUUAUCUGCCAUGGUAGUUUAGAUG